UGGGGAAUUUUGGACAAUGGGCGCAAGCCUGAUCCAGCAAUGCCGCGUGCAGGAUGAAGGCCUUCGGGUUGUAAACUGCUUUUGUACGGAACGAAAAGCCUCUCUCUAAUACAGGGGGUGAUGACGGUACCGUAAGAAUAAGCACCGGCUAACUACGUGCCAGCAGCCGCGGUAAUACGUAGGGUGCAAGCGUUAAUCGGAAUUACUGGGCGUAAAGCGUGCGCAGGCGGUUUUGUAAGACAGUGGUGAAAUCCCCGGGCUCAACCUGGGAACUGCCAUUGUGACUGCAAGGCUGGAGUGCGGCAGAGGGGGAUGGAAUUCCGCGUGUAGCAGUGAAAUGCGUAGAUAUGCGGAGGAACACCGAUGGCGAAGGCAAUCCCCUGGGCCUGCACUGACGCUCAUGCACGAAAGCGUGGGGAGCAAACAGGAUUAGAUACCCUGGUAGUCCACGCCCUAAAACGAUGUCAACUGGUUGUUGGGGAUUUAUUUCUUCAGUAACGAAGCUAACGCGUGAAGUUGACCGCCUGGGGGAGUACGGCCGCAAGGUUAAAAACUC
Molecule: ribosomal RNA, 556 nt
Filed under: uncultured bacterium
Lineage: Bacteria
Description: partial 16S ribosomal RNA
Rfam family: Bacterial small subunit ribosomal RNA
Source: RNAcentral